AUGCAGGAAGUCUGGACCCAACACGGGAUGUGGGUUCCCAAGCAGCGGCGUAAGCACCACACCAAAUGCCAGCCCCUGCCCAUGCCACCCCCUGGGUCCUCACUAACAACCAAAGAGGCAGGUGCUGCCCUUCUCCCGUCUCACAGGGAGUGCAAGGGUGGCCCCCACCGCCCGCAAGCUGGCAGAGCCAGGGUCGAAUCCACAGAGCCUGGGCCGUGCUCAGCCCGGACAGAAUGCCCCUCCUCCGCCCUCCCAGGCUCAGUGAGCAGCGCAUCAGCCCCGCCCCCGCCGUCCCCUUCUGCCCUGUUGCCCCCUGCUCCGGCAGGGCUGCAUCUGCUCCCACCCGGACCACUGCCACGGCCUCACCACUCCAGCCGUCCCAGGCAACACCCAGGUCCUUCCUCAGGCCUGCAGUCUGGCCCCGCCCUGCACCCUGUGCCGGCUCCACCCGCCUCCCUCACACCACAGAUCUUCCUCUCUUGCCUUGGCCACCUCUCUGGCUUUUCCACCUGUUCAGAACCCUCUCCAGCUCCUUCGUCCCAGCCUCUUACCCGUGCGUCAGAGCUCGGCUGGACCGCCGUUCCUCGGGCACCUGACCCCUCCCAGCAGCAGUCCCCGCUGGGUUUCCUCCCGCCCUGCAGCCCUUCACCUGCGGUCAUGACCGUGAGUCCCUCACUCAGCACCCGACAGCCUGUUAACUACAGGAUCCCCCCACACCACUCGCUAUCUUACUUAUUCAUAGUGGUAUACUAUAGCCAUGAACUCACUUUCCCUUCCAAACACGAGGAAGGGAAUAAAAGUCUAAAAAAAAAAAAAAAAAAAAAAAAAAAAACAAAAACAAAAACAAAACUAUGGCAAGAGUUCACUUUUAUCCUGUCACUGGGAGCCGGCUUCUGGAGGAAAGCAAGGGGUGCACUUCCCUCUGAUGCCACCAGGGGGCAGGCAGUGCCUGUCUUCAAGAGUGGGUUUCUGUUUUUUAAGAUUUAUUUUUUUUUGUUUGUUUGUCUGUUUACUAGGUAG
RNAcentral lists this long non-coding RNA (1020 nucleotides) under Oryctolagus cuniculus (rabbit). Its description in RNAcentral is "lncRNA (ENSOCUG00000035728.1)". The record is from RNAcentral. Lineage: Eukaryota; Metazoa; Chordata; Mammalia; Lagomorpha; Leporidae.